UUUAAAGUCUAACCUGCCCAUGAGGAGUUUAAUGGCCGCGGUAAUUUGACCGUGCAAAGGUAGCAUAAUCAUUAGUUUUUUAAUUGAAAGCUGGUAUGAACGGUUGGACGAGAAAACUACUGUCUCAAGCUGAGUUUUUGUAGAACUUUAUUUUUAAGUUAGAAAGCUUAAAUAUUUUUAAAAGACGAGAAGACCCUAUAGAGUUUAAUAUUUUAAAAUGUAUAAUAUUUAUAGCAUUAUUGGAAUUUUACAUUUUAAAAUAUUUUGUUGGGGCGACAGAAAAACUAAAUUAACUUUUUUUUUAUUAGAUCAUUGAUUUAUGAGUGUUUGAUCCAUUUAAGUAUGAUUACAAGAUUAAAUUACCUUAGGGAUAACAGCGUAAUUUUUUUUGAGAGUUCUUAUCGAAAAAAGAGUUUGCGACCUCGAUGUUGGAUUAAAAUUUGCUUUUGGUGGAGGAGCUAAAAAGCUAGGUCUGUUCGACCUUUGAAAUUUUACAUGAUCUGAGUUUAAACCGGUGUGAGCCAGGUUGGUUUCUAUCUUUAAAAUAUAUAUUCACUUUAGUACGAAAGGACCGAGUGAGUACAAAAUUUGUUAACAAUUGAAUUUUAUUAAUA
RNAcentral lists this ribosomal RNA (614 nucleotides) under Geniates sp. Arg2. Its description in RNAcentral is "partial 16S large subunit ribosomal RNA". It matches the Rfam family "Bacterial large subunit ribosomal RNA", at positions 1844 to 2734 of the family's 2925-position model. The record is from RNAcentral. Lineage: Eukaryota; Metazoa; Arthropoda; Insecta; Coleoptera; Scarabaeidae.